This 259-nucleotide ribosomal RNA is filed under the name uncultured Pseudomonas sp. RNAcentral's name for it is "partial 16S ribosomal RNA". It matches the Rfam family "Bacterial small subunit ribosomal RNA", at positions 1123 to 1382 of the family's 1533-position model. The record is from RNAcentral. Lineage: Bacteria; Pseudomonadati; Pseudomonadota; Gammaproteobacteria; Pseudomonadales; Pseudomonadaceae.
ACGUUAUGGUGGGCACUCUAAGGAGACUGCCGGUGACAAACCGAGGAAGGUGGGGAUGACGUCAAGUCAUCAUGGCCCUUACGGCCUGGGCUACACACGUGCUACAAUGGUCGGUACAAAGGGUUGCCAAGCCGCGAGGUGGAGCUAAUCCCAUAAAACCGAUCGUAGUCCGGAUCGCAGUCUGCAACUCGACUGCGUGAAGUCGGAAUCGCUAGUAAUCGUGAAUCAGAAUGUCACGGUGAAUACGUUCCCGGGCCUU